GACGAACGCUGGCGGCGUGCCUAAUACAUGCAAGUAGAACGCUGAAGAGAGGAGCUUGCUCUUCUUGGAUGAGUUGCGAACGGGUGAGUAACGCGUAGGUAACCUGCCUUGUAGCGGGGGAUAACUAUUGGAAACGAUAGCUAAUACCGCAUAACAAUGGAUGACACAUGUCAUUUAUUUGAAAGGGGCAAUUGCUCCACUACAAGAAGGACCUGCGUUGUAUUAGCUAGUAGGUGAGGUAAUGGCUCACCUAGGCGACGAUACAUAGCCGACCUGAGAGGGUGAUCGGCCAAACUGGGACUGGGACACGGCCCAGACUCCUACGGGAGGUAGCAGUAGGGGAUCUUCGGCAAUGGGGGCAAACCUGACCGAGCAACGCCGCGUGAGUGAAGAAGGUUUUCGGAUCGUAAAGCUCUGUUGUAAGUCAAGAACGGGUGUGAGAGUGGAAAGUUCACACUGUGACGGUAGCUUACCAGAAAGGGACGGCUAACUACGUG
This 497-nucleotide ribosomal RNA is filed under the name uncultured bacterium. Its description in RNAcentral is "partial 16S ribosomal RNA". It matches the Rfam family "Bacterial small subunit ribosomal RNA", at positions 28 to 507 of the family's 1533-position model. The record is from RNAcentral.